This 468-nucleotide ribosomal RNA is filed under the name uncultured bacterium. Its description in RNAcentral is "partial 16S ribosomal RNA". It matches the Rfam family "Bacterial small subunit ribosomal RNA", at positions 28 to 507 of the family's 1533-position model. The record is from RNAcentral.
GACGAACACUGGCGGCGUGCUUAACACAUGCAAGUCGAACGGAAAGGCCCUGCUUUUGUGGGGUGCUCGAGUGGCGAACGGGUGAGUAACACGUGAGUAACCUGCCCUUGACUUUGGGAUAACUUCAGGAAACUGGGGCUAAUACCGGAUAGGAGCUCCUGCUGCAUGGUGGGGGUUGGAAAGUUUCGGCGGUUGGGGAUGGACUCGCGGCUUAUCAGCUUGUUGGUGGGGUAGUGGCUUACCAGGGCUUUGACGGGUAGCCGGCCUGAGAGGGUGACCGGCCACAUUGGGACUGAGAUACGGCCCAGACUCCUACGGGAGGCAGCAGUGGGGAAUAUUGCACAAUGGGCGGAAGCCUGAUGCAGCAACGCCGCGUGCGGGAUGACGGCCUUCGGGUUGUAAACCGCUUUCGCCUGUGACGAAGCGUGAGUGACGGUAAUGGGUAAAGAAGCACCGGCUAACUACGUG